This 429-nucleotide ribosomal RNA is filed under the name Chloroflexota bacterium. RNAcentral describes it as "Chloroflexi bacterium partial 16S ribosomal RNA". It matches the Rfam family "Bacterial small subunit ribosomal RNA", at positions 355 to 776 of the family's 1533-position model. Lineage: Bacteria; Bacillati; Chloroflexota. The record is from RNAcentral.
UGGGGAAUAUUGCACAAUGGGCGCAAGCCUGAUGCAGCCAUGCCGCGUGUGUGAAGAAGGCCUUCGGGUUGUAAAGCACUUUCAGCGGGGAGGAAGGCGAUAAGGUUAAUAACCUUGUCGAUUGACGUUACCUGCAGAAGAAGCACCGGCUAACUCCGUGCCAGCAGCCGCGGUAAUACGGAGGGUGCAAGCGUUAAUCGGAAUUACUGGGCGUAAAGCGCACGCAGGCGGUCUGUCAAGUCGGAUGUGAAAUCCCCGGGCUUAACCUGGGAACUGCAUUCGAAACUGGCAGGCUAGAGUCUUGUAGAGGGGGGUAGAAUUCCAGGUGUAGCGAUGAAAUGCGUAGAGAUCUGGAGGAAUACCGGUGGCGAAGGCGGCCCCCUGGACAAAGACUGACGCUCAGGUGCGAAAGCGUGGGGAGCAAACAGG